AUGCAAGACUACUUCGCGGACAAUCCAACAUAUCCGAUGCACCUUUUCCGGAGAAGGUAACGAAUGCGCCGAUCACUCUUUGUAAAAAUAGUGCAAGCUUGCGAGGCCAAUUGGCGGUAUUUUACUCAAAGAAGAAAUGUCGCGGGCUUGAAUUGAUUUAGUGCAGAUAAAAAAAUUCGACAGCUAUGCGGGUAA
Molecule: ribosomal RNA, 195 nt
Filed under: Triticum aestivum (bread wheat)
Lineage: Eukaryota; Viridiplantae; Streptophyta; Magnoliopsida; Poales; Poaceae
Description: partial small subunit ribosomal RNA
Source: RNAcentral